AACGAACGCUGGCGGCAUGCCUAACACAUGCAAGUCGAACGAGACCUUCGGGUCUAGUGGCGCACGGGUGCGUAACGCGUGGGAAUCUGCCCUUGGGUUCGGAAUAACAGUUAGAAAUGACUGCUAAUACCGGAUAAUGUCUUCGGACCAAAGAUUUAUCGCCCAGGGAUGAGCCCGCGUAGGAUUAGCUAGUUGGUGAGGUAAAAGGCUCACCAAGGCGACGAUCCUUAGCUGGUCUGAGAGGAUGAUCAGCCACACUGGGACUGAGACACGGCCCAGACUCCUACGGGAGGCAGCAGUGGGGAAUAUUGGACAAUGGGCGAAAGCCUGAUCUAGCAAUGCCGCGUGAGUGAUGAAGGCCUUAGGGUUGUAAAGCUCUUUUACCCGGGAUGAUAAUGACAGUACCGGGAGAAUAAGCUCCGGCUAACUCCGUGCCAGCAGCCGCGGUAAU
Molecule: ribosomal RNA, 451 nt
Filed under: uncultured bacterium
Lineage: Bacteria
Description: bacterial SSU rRNA
Rfam family: Bacterial small subunit ribosomal RNA
Source: RNAcentral